GUUUUUGAGAAGUAGAGGAGGACAGAUAGGCCAGCGUCUGAACUGUAUUAUGUCAAACAUGACUCAAGUUGAUGAUGUCGAUUUAGGGCGGGAUUGUCUUCUCAAGGGGCUGUGUGUGUACCUCAAUGAGAGAGUUUGUGGCAGAAGAUGAAGACGUCAUUCUGCGGUCCAUUCAGGGGAUUACAGUGGGACUUUAUGUUGUCAAACACAAUUCCACCAUGAGACCAGAGGACAGAUGAGACCAGAGGACAGAUGAGACCAGAGGACAGAUUGUCCUGGAAGGCCAACAGGUACUAACUGAUGUGGACAACAUUGCAUUAGCUGCUACCAUGCUGUUUGGACUAAUGUAUGCAAUGAACCUGAACUACCCCCCUAAACUGAAGUGCACGUUCGAAGUGCUCCAGCAAAUGUUAAUGGAGCUAGACGGCAACAUGCUCUCCAAGAAAGCCCAAGCGUUUAAAAACAAA
This is a long non-coding RNA of Notothenia coriiceps (black rockcod), 467 nucleotides long. RefSeq lists it as uncharacterized. Lineage: Eukaryota; Metazoa; Chordata; Actinopteri; Perciformes; Nototheniidae. The record is from RefSeq and is a predicted model, not a curated record. The transcript is spliced from 3 exons.